GGUUAAGCGACUAAGCGUACACGGUGGAUGCCCUGGCAGUCAGAGGCGAUGAAGGGCGUGCUAAUCUGCGAUAAGCGCCGGUAAGGUGAUAUGAACCGUUAUAACCGGCGAUACCCGAAUGGGGAAACCCAGUGUGACUCGUCACACUAUCAUUAACUGAAUCCAUAGGUUAAUGAGGCGAACCGGGGGAACUGAAACAUCUAAGUACCCCGAGGAAAAGAAAUCAACCGAGAUUCCCCCAGUAGCGGCGAGCGAACGGGGAGGAGCCCAGAGCCUGAAUCAGCAUGUGUGUUAGUGGAAGCGUCUGGAAAGGCGCGCGAUACAGGGUGACAGCCCCGUACACAAAAGCGCAUGUGCUGUGAGCUCGAUGAGUAGGGCGGGACACGUGGUAUCCUGUCUGAAUAUGGGGGGGACCAUCCUCCAAGGCUAAAUACUCCUGACUGACCGAUAGUGAACCAGUACCGUGAGGGAAAGGCGAAAAGAACCCCGGCGAGGGGAGUGAAAAAGAACCUGAAACCGUGUACGUACAAGCAGUGGGAGCACAGGUUUACCUGUGUGACUGCGUACCUUUUGUAUAAUGGGUCAGCGACUUAUAUUCUGUAGCAAGGUUAACCGCAUAGGGGAGCCGGAGGGAAACCGAGUCUUAAUUGGGCGUUAAGUUGCAGGGUAUAGACCCGAAACCCGGUGAUCUAGCCAUGGGCAGGUUGAAGGUUGGGUAACACUAACUGGAGGACCGAACCGACUAAUGUUGAAAAAUUAGCGGAUGACCUGUGGCUGGGGGUGAAAGGCCAAUCAAACCGGGAGAUAGCUGGUUCUCCCCGAAAGCUAUUUAGGUAGCGCCUCGUGAAUUCAUCUCCGGGGGUAGAGCACUGUUUCGGCUAGGGGGCCAUCCCGGCUUACCAACCCGAUGCAAACUGCGAAUACCGGAGAAUGUUAUCACGGGAGACACACGGCGGGUGCUAACGUCCGUCGUGAAGAGGGAAACAACCCAGACCGCCAGCUAAGGUCCCAAAGUCAUGGUUAAGUGGGAAACGAUGUGGGAAGGCCCAGACAGCCAGGAUGUUGGCUUAGAAGCAGCCAUCAUUUAAAGAAAGCGUAAUAGCUCACUGGUCGAGUCGGCCUGCGCGGAAGAUGUAACGGGGCUAAACCAUGCACCGAAGCUGCGGCAGCGAACGUAUCACUUAAAGCGAUUCAGCGGGUUACGAUUGACGGAGCGAAGCGACGUCAAAGCGUAUACAAAGUCGAGUCGGUUUAAGGAUACGUUCGUUGGGUAGGGGAGCGUUCUGUAAGCCUGCGAAGGUGGCCUGUGAGGGUUGCUGGAGGUAUCAGAAGUGCGAAUGCUGACAUAAGUAACGAUAAAGCGGGUGAAAAGCCCGCUCGCCGGAAGACCAAGGGUUCCUGUCCAACGUUAAUCGGGGCAGGGUGAGUCGACCCCUAAGGCGAGGCCGAAAGGCGUAGUCGAUGGGAAACGGGUUAAUAUUCCCGUACUUGGUGUUACUGCGAAGGGGGGACGGAGAAGGCUAUGUUGGCCGGGCGACGGUUGUCCCGGUUUAAGCGUGUAGGUGUGUGUUCCAGGUAAAUCCGGUUCACUUUAACACUGAGGCGUGAUGACGAGGCACUACGGUGCUGAAGCAACAAAU
RNAcentral lists this ribosomal RNA (1640 nucleotides) under Salmonella enterica subsp. enterica serovar Agona str. SA-1. RNAcentral's name for it is "bacterial LSU rRNA". It matches the Rfam family "Bacterial large subunit ribosomal RNA", at positions 1 to 1598 of the family's 2925-position model. Lineage: Bacteria; Pseudomonadati; Pseudomonadota; Gammaproteobacteria; Enterobacterales; Enterobacteriaceae. The record is from RNAcentral.